AUUGAACGCUGGCGGUAGGCCUAACACAUGCAAGUCGAACGGCAGCACAGUAAGAGCUUGCUCUUACGGGUGGCGAGUGGCGGACGGGUGAGGAAUACAUCGGAAUCUACUUUUUCGUGGGGGGUAACGUAGGGAAACUUACGCUAAUACCGCAUAAGACCUACGGGUGAAAGCAGGGGAUCUUCGGACCUUGCGCGAUUGAAUGAGCCGAUGUCGGAUUAGCUAGUUGGCGGGGUAAAGGCCCACCAAGGCGACGAUCCGUAGCUGGUCUGAGAGGAUGAUCAGCCACACUGGAACUGAGACACGGUCCAGACUCCUACGGGAGGCAGCAGUGGGGAAUAUUGGACAAUGGGCGCAAGCCUGAUCCAGCCAUACCGCGUGGGUGAAGAAGGCCUUCGGGUUGUAAAGCCCUUUUGUUGGGAAAGAAAAGCAGCAGGUUAAUACCCCGCUGUUCUGACGGUACCCAAAGAAUAAGCACCGGCUAACUUCGUG
RNAcentral lists this ribosomal RNA (492 nucleotides) under uncultured bacterium. Its description in RNAcentral is "partial 16S ribosomal RNA". It matches the Rfam family "Bacterial small subunit ribosomal RNA", at positions 30 to 507 of the family's 1533-position model. The record is from RNAcentral.